AGGACGAACGCUGGCGGCGUGCCUAAUACAUGCAAGUCGAGCGAAUGAUUAGAGAAGCUGCUCUCUCUGAUUUAGCGGCGGACGGGUGAGUAACACGUGGGUAACCUACCCUAUAGACUGGGAUAACUUCGGGAAACCGGAGCUAAUACCGGAUAAUACUUCGAAACACAUGUUUUGAAGUUGAAAGAUGGUUUCGGCUAUCACUAUAGGAUGGACCCGCGGCGCAUUAGCUAGUUGGUGAGGUAACGGCUCACCAAGGCAACGAUGCGUAGCCGACCUGAGAGGGUGAUCGGCCACACUGGGACUGAGACACGGCCCAGACUCCUACGGGAGGCAGCAGUAGGGAAUCUUCCACAAUGGACGAAAGUCUGAUGGAGCAACGCCGCGUGAGUGAAGAAGGAUUUCGGUUCGUAAAACUCUGUUGCAAGGGAAGAACAAGUAGCGUAGUAACUGGCGCUACCUUGACGGUACCUUGUUAGAAAGCCACGGCUAACUACGUGCCAGCAGCCGC
This 511-nucleotide ribosomal RNA is filed under the name uncultured bacterium. Its description in RNAcentral is "bacterial SSU rRNA". It matches the Rfam family "Bacterial small subunit ribosomal RNA", at positions 26 to 518 of the family's 1533-position model. The record is from RNAcentral.